CCUGGUGGCUUAGAUGGUGAAGAAUCUGCCUGCAAUGCAGGAGACCUGGGUUCAAUCCCUGGGUCAGGA
This 69-nucleotide transfer RNA is filed under the name Odocoileus virginianus texanus. It matches the Rfam family "tRNA". Rfam says of the family: Transfer RNA (tRNA) molecules are approximately 80 nucleotides in length. Their secondary structure includes four short double-helical elements and three loops (D, anti-codon, and T loops). The record is from Rfam by way of RNAcentral. Lineage: Eukaryota; Metazoa; Chordata; Mammalia; Artiodactyla; Cervidae. RNAcentral also lists the same sequence under 6 other names.